UAAUACGAAGGGUGCAAGCGUUAAUCGGAAUUACUGGGCGUAAAGCGUGCGUAGGUGGUUUCUUAAGUCUGCUGUGAAAGCCCUGGGCUCAACCUGGGAAUGGCGGUGGAUACUGAGGAGCUAGAGUGCGGUAGAGGAGGGUGGAAUUCCCGGUGUAGCGGUGAAAUGCGUAGAGAUCGGGAGGAACAUCAGUGGCGAAGGCGGCCCUCUGGACCAGCACUGACGCUGAGGCACGAAAGCGUGGGGAGCAAACAGGAUUAGAUACCCUGGUAGUCCACGCCCUAAACGAUGCGAACUGGACGUUGGGCACAAUUCGGUGCUCAGUGUCGAAGCUAACGCGUUAAGUUCGCCGCCUGGGGAGUACGCUCGCAAGAGUG
Molecule: ribosomal RNA, 377 nt
Filed under: uncultured bacterium
Lineage: Bacteria
Description: bacterial SSU rRNA
Rfam family: Bacterial small subunit ribosomal RNA
Source: RNAcentral